CCACCACAGGAAACAAUGGUGAUUGACCAUUUGAAACUUCUUGUUGGCCACAAAAGUUUUGGAUCAAGCUGAUAUUUGUGUGGUCCCUUCAUCCAGGUCUUUGCUACCUUAUCAACAUGUUGGAUGGCAAAUAAACAUUCUGGUGGCCCCCAAGAAAUUUUUAAUGGUGAGUAUUCAAUCACCAUUGUUUCCUAUGAUGUGGUCCACCUAAGAUUUGGAUCUGCUUCAUUUUUGGGAUCACGCCAUAAAAUGAGCUUUCAAAAUGGAUGGUCGGCAUGGAUGUAAGGAAAAUACAUCAUGGCGGGCCCACCAAAACCAGGCCUGUUCCUCUCCAUGCUGUUAGGAUGGAAUCUCUGCUGCUGGUAUUGCUGUAUUGCUUUAUGGUCCAAGUGCUUGUCUCAGGUAACUGGAGGGGCUGGAGUUGGUUUCAUCAACUGAUAUUUCUACUGUGCCUUCUUCCCUGCCGGCCCAAGCCAUUGUACAGGUGCCAACCUAGCAAGCGUAUCGAACUUUUGACUGGUGUAUAAAGUAAACUCCCUUGUGAAGAGAUCAUAUGCAAAAAUCAGGCAAGUCAACUAACAAACGCAGGCCACUCGUGUAUCUUCAAUUGGCACAACUAACAAAUGGUAGUCAUUUCUUUUAGUUCCUCUAUGAUUGUUUGAUCCCUUCUAUAUGGUUUCUGGUGGAACCCUGUCCAAGUGGAAUUUCCUUCCCUUUGGCUUUUUCGAGGCCAUUGCUGUAUUUCUUAAACUGUUUAUUUGUAGGCCAUGAAUCGAAGGAUUAGGACCUUCCAAUCUGGGGCCAUUUUCCUUCCACACUGAAACCCAUCAGAUAUAUAGUCUGGAUGUACAAACCACUGGCCUCACUUGUAUGGAAUGGAUGCAUCAAGGCACUAUUCGUAUCAGUGUAUCGUACUUCUACUUUGCUAAUAGGUUUUAACUAACAGUUGUGAUUUAUGAAUUUUUACUUUUAAUAGGUGGAGCUAAUUGGCAUGUGUGAAGUGACUGGUCAGGACAGAGAGAAUGGUUGUGCAUGUGGGUUCCUUUCCAUUUUAUGGUUUCUUUGUUCA
Molecule: long non-coding RNA, 1069 nt
Organism: Magnolia sinica
Lineage: Eukaryota; Viridiplantae; Streptophyta; Magnoliopsida; Magnoliales; Magnoliaceae
Exons: 2
Source: RefSeq, a predicted model, not a curated record